Arachis stenosperma is the source of this 2608-nucleotide long non-coding RNA. RefSeq lists it as uncharacterized. The record is from RefSeq and is a predicted model, not a curated record. The transcript has 4 exons. NCBI's taxonomy places the organism in Eukaryota, Viridiplantae, Streptophyta, Magnoliopsida, Fabales, Fabaceae.
AAUCGUUACGAACACCGUUUGUAUUGCUCAUUCAUUUUUUUGAGCUUAAUGUCCUUUUGAAAAUUAACUCGAGCCUAUAUUAGUAUCAUGUAUAAAGUGUAGCUACAACUAUUGAGAUGUUGAUUCCUUAAGAGCAAGACUUUUGGAUACGAAAAAUGAAGCAGGUAAGCAUGCGCCCCCAAAAAGAGUUUUGGAGCAUUAAUUCUUGCAGACCACAAAGCCUAUGAUUAGUUUAAUACGCUAGAAAAUACACCGGUUACAUGGAUACCCGAAUAUGAAGAGAGCUUCCAACCUCCAAGAGGAGGAUUAACCCCAAAUCCAGUAAUCAGGAUACCCGAACUUAUUUAACAACUCGGAAUUAGUGCGAUACAUUACCAGAGGGGUUUAGGAUACGUGUAAAUACAACAUCGUAAAGUGGUAACAGAUGCCCUGAGUAAGAAGUUUUUGGGAAAAUUCUUGGAUAUUAAGGGUAUAGCUAAAGGAGUCAAACUAAAUCUAUUGCGAUUUUAAAACAUAGCAAAGACGAAAUGCAGGAAGUGUGAGGGGACGAUAAAGGCCUACCGAGAAUGUCGAAGUCUGGCAAACGAAAGGGAACUAAGAAAAGAUUUAUAUGUUUAGUGUCAAAAUAGAGAUCGUAGAGUCAAGGACUUAAGGAGUGCAAUAACAGUGAUAAGGAGCUACUAAAAGAACCGAAGCCGGCUGAAUCAAGAAGACACCAUGAGCGGGUUAUGUGUCGAGAUUAGGAGUUAGAAUGAGAAACUGUUGUCCGAAGAAUACAAGAGAGGAUUUUUGAAGUUACCUUGGGGUUUCUAAGACGUAUCGCGAAUUCAAGAAGAUAUUUUGAGCCGCCAGAAGUGAAGAACAAAGUGACGAUCCAUGUGAUUACAUGUUCGACGCAUGAGAAAGAAAAGAGAAUAACCAUCGAUUUCAUAAUAGGUUGCCGACGACUAGGACAAAAGGUGAUACUGUUAGGGAAUUGUGGAUCAAGUGACCAGGCCCGUUUUGCCCAUCGGAGUAAACCACUUGCUGGGGAUAUCAAAGAGACUAUACAUCAGGGAGAAGGUGAGACUUCACAGUAUGCUAAACACCUUUGAAUUAACUGAAAACUGGAAUAUCAAACGUCUUAGUUCCUGAAUUUGACAGCCGAAACAACGGAGGAAGAGUGACACAAAUCUAAGUUAGAAUUCUCACUAUGAAAGCCGACAAAAGAGUUAGGCAGAUCUAAGAAGAAGACUUCUCAAGUUGGAAGGAAGAGGAUACCUAUUUCUGAAGAUCACUUCAACGAACUAGAAUCGGAUGAUCAAUCAAAAACUAAAAAGCUAAAUUCCCAUCACAUCGGACCAGUGGCGUAUAGGAUCGCUUUACUAUCACAAUGUUCGAACCUGCAUGAUGUGUUUCACAUAUUACAGCUUCAUAAAUACACUUUCGACCCAGUUAUGUCCUACAACCAGAAUCAGUCCAAGUAAGAGAAGGUCUGACGCUUCUAGUAACUCUGGUUAGGAUUGAUGAUACUAGCAUUAAACGUUUACGCGGGAGAGAGGUUUUCUUAGUGAAAGUAGCUUGGUGUUGGGCUGGUAUUGAAGAAUACACCUAGAAGCUUGAGACAGAGAUGCGGAAGGACUAACCACACCUCUAUUCAGGUAGCGCACUCUGAAUUUUGAGGACAAAAUUCCUAAUUAGGUGGGUAGGAUGUAAACCCCGCUAAAAUCGGUAUAUAAUUAGUCAAUAAAUCGAAUUUCCAAUAGGAAAAUUAAAUACGCAAAACUGAUAUCAAAAUAAGAUAGAGCUCAUCGAAACAAGAAUUUUGAUACCAAUUUCAAAAAGUUUGGCCCAAGAUUGGGCCGGAUGGGCCGAACUGGUUGAACCGGACCCAAAAUGGGCCCAAGGCCCAACCGAACCCAAUCCAUUAAAGAGGCACAGCUUCUUAUUUCCCUUCUUCUUUAUUAUUCACGCUGGGAAACAUUUCUUAGGGGGAAGAAGAACACAAGCAAAAACCUAACCCUCACUUUAAUUUCAAAUCCAUGUAACUUUUGAUCCGGAGCUCCGAUUGACGAACCGUUUGCGACCACGCGUUCACCGCGACGAGCUCUACGAAACCCAUGGAACAAUUUGGUUCAAGUCAGCUUCCGGAACUUGUGGGCUCAAGCUAUUGAGCAUAUGGGUAUGGUGUAGAUUAAGUGGGUAUAUAUGCAUUGGGAAUAUUUAGAGGCUUGUUGGUGAUCAAAGCUUAGUGUGUGGCUAUUUUACUUGAGCUUGAAGAGGCUGUAAUUUUGUGUUGAGAAGCUGCCUUGGGUGAAUUAAGUGAUCGGCCAAGAUGCAGGUCGAGAGGCUCCUCGCUAGGCGUCUGGAUUCUGGAAAGCGAAGUAGUUCUUGGGUGUAUUUUGGUUUCUAUUUGUAUAUAUGUAUAUAUAUGUGUAGCUUACUCUCCAAGUAACUUAUGUAUGCUGCUCCUCUUAGAGGUUGAGGGAGAGAUAGGAGUUUACUUUGGUAUUUUGGUAUAUUUUGGGGACACUUAUGUAUGUUUGUAUGUAUAUAUAUAUCCUCCGGCCAGCCUUAACUUCGCAGGCUGAGUCAGAGGCUAGUUAUGCUAUUCCUUGGCUUUUCUUUA